AAUCAACGCUGGCGGCGUGCCUAACACAUGCAAGUCGAACGAGAAAGUGGUAGCAAUACCAUGAGUAAAGUGGCGCACGGGUGAGUAACACGUGACUAACCUACCUUGGAGUUCGGAAUAACCUCGGGAAACCGGGGCUAAUACCGGAUAACACCUACGGGUCAAAGGAGCAAUUCGCUCUGAGAGGGGGUCGCGGCUGAUUAGCUAGUUGGCAGGGUAAUGGCCUACCAAGGCGACGAUCAGUAUCCGGCCUGAGAGGGCGCACGGACACACUGGAACUGAAACACGGUCCAGACUCCUACGGGAGGCAGCAGUGGGGAAUUUUGCACAAUGGGGGAAACCCUGAUGCAGCAACGCCGCGUGGAGGAUGAAGGUCUUUGGAUUGUAAACUCCGUUCGAACGGGACGAUAAUGACU
This 416-nucleotide ribosomal RNA is filed under the name bacterium Ellin6094. RNAcentral describes it as "bacterial SSU rRNA". It matches the Rfam family "Bacterial small subunit ribosomal RNA", at positions 32 to 456 of the family's 1533-position model. The record is from RNAcentral. Lineage: Bacteria; Pseudomonadati; Acidobacteriota; Terriglobia; Terriglobales; Acidobacteriaceae.